AUGAAGGUAAUCUCAUCUGCAGGUGUGAGUUUUGGGAAUGUCAUCACACCAGCUGAAACUCAUAUGUUUGGGACAGAAGGAGACAUUGUAAGUCUCCCCUGUAGCUACUCCUCAGCAAGCAGCCUGUUUUGGUAUCGCCAAUAUCCCGGAUCGGCUCCUGAAUUUCUUUUCAGUAUUCUUCAUGCCACUGGGGAAGUUUUACAAAAAUCUAAUAUUGUGGAUCAAGAUCCUCGAUUCUCUGCCAAACUGAAUGAAGAGAAAACCCAUGUGUAUCUGGAGAUCUCCUCUGCUGAAGUGACAGACUCAGUGAUGUUCUACUGUGCUCUGGAGCCCACAGUCACAGGAAAACACACUACACUGUACAAAAACACGCUGUCUUGUGUUUAA
This is a non-coding RNA of Megalobrama amblycephala (Wuchang bream), 387 nucleotides long. The record is from the annotation of a RefSeq genome assembly. Lineage: Eukaryota; Metazoa; Chordata; Actinopteri; Cypriniformes; Xenocyprididae.